Molecule: transfer RNA, 466 nt
Filed under: uncultured Pelagibacterales bacterium
Lineage: Bacteria; Pseudomonadati; Pseudomonadota; Alphaproteobacteria; Candidatus Pelagibacterales
Description: partial 16S-23S ribosomal RNA intergenic spacer
Rfam family: tRNA (bases 107-180)
Source: RNAcentral
CCUCCUUUCUAAGGAUGAAUGAAAGUAAAAUUUCAUUCUAAAUAAUAUACAUCGGUAAUGUUGACCGUCCUCAUUUCUCUUCUUAAAGUAAUGUUUCCUUCUUGUAGGGCCGGUAGCUCAGUUGGUUAGAGCACACCCUUGAUAAGGGUGGGGUCGAAAGUUCGAGUCUUUCUCGGCCCACCAUACUUAACUGGGGGAUUAGCUCAGCUGGGAGAGCGCCUGAUUUGCAUUCAGGAGGUCAGCGGUUCGAUCCCGCUAUCCUCCACCAGGAAACAUUUAGUUAUAAAAACUGUAAAUAAAAGUAAUAAUUAAUAUCAAUAUCUAUAUCCGAACAUUAGUAAUGUUAUUAGCUAAUGUUCAAAAUAAAAAUUUGAUCACAACAUAGAUAAUUUUUCUGUAAAAAGAAUUUUUUCUGUGCAUAAAUCAAGCGUUUAAGGGCGUGUAGUGGAUGCCUGGGCACUGAAAC